This is a long non-coding RNA of Helicoverpa zea (corn earworm), 1202 nucleotides long. RefSeq lists it as uncharacterized. The transcript is spliced from 2 exons. NCBI's taxonomy places the organism in Eukaryota, Metazoa, Arthropoda, Insecta, Lepidoptera, Noctuidae. The record is from RefSeq and is a predicted model, not a curated record.
CGAUCCCUAGUGGGAAAUAAUAAAUAAAUAGUGGGAUCUACGCCUUAAUUCAGGAUACGGGAUACAUUAUUCGUAGCGUAAACAGUACCAAGACAAUGCAACAUUUCUCCCCGCUCUGUCUGCCAUAAUAGUCAUUAUUAGAAUUUCGAGUUGCGGUCAAUUUACGCAUCGGAAUAAAAACUAUUGUUAUCCUUCUCCAUGGUUCAGGCUAUUUCCAUGUGAAAAUUCAUCAAUAGCGGUGUUGCCAUACAGGCAUAACCGACAGUUUUGAAUUUAUAGGUACCUACUGGAAGAAAAAUCUAUCUUGCGUAAAGCAGAAAUCCCCUAACAACAGUUUUUAGUUCCCUUCCUCAUAUGCGUAUUGCCGAAUAUGUACUCCAAUAUAUUGCUGACAACAGGUAUAUGUUGAGGAUAAUAAAACACUAAAUUAUUAUGAUGAAAAUAGGGGAUAUAUUUACAACUAUGUAUUAAAACAAAAUGAUGACUCAUGAACAAUACUUUCCAUAAAUAAUAAAUGAGUAAUGGCGUGUUACAAUUCACGCAUAAUUGAAUAAAACCGCCAUAAAUGAUUGUACAAACGUUGUGUACGGAAUGAUUGUCAGCAAAACAGUUGUUUUUGGUUUUCCACAAUACAUGUUUUUGGGAGUCCAGACCAAUUGAGACUAAAAGUGCGGUCGGAUCUGAAUGAUGUUGUCUAGCCGUAAAUAACAUUACGGCAUCAUGUAAAUCAUUCAAGUCUUUCAGCAUCUUUUAGAACAAAAGUAGCCUUACCUAUUAUGUAUUUUUUUUAUAAAGUUCAGAUUAGUGUGUACUGCUUGAAAUUAUUAACUGAUCAAAUUGAUAAGGCUACUUUCGCUUUACGGCCUUAAAAAAAUACAUUUUUCAUAUUAAAAUUAGCGCACAAAAGGGGGUUCCAUACUGUAAAAUCUUAAAGUAAAAAAUGCCAUAAGAUAUUAUACUGCAGUAAAAUAAAGUUCAGUCCAAAGCUAAAACUAUAUUUUGCGAUACAUGGGCUUAUAAAAAUGUGUCGAAAACAGUGUUCAUAAGGAGAAACGAUACAUGGGCCUUUACAUUAAAUACAGGGAAGACAUUACUUAUUGUUUGAUUUGAGAAAAAUAAAAUAGACUCAAUCCGACGCAUUUUAAUUAAGCGGUACAUUUUCAGCGUGUAUUAAAAUUAAUGUUUUUUUUAUGAUGUAUUUA